CAGUAAGACAGUACAAGAGAGUACAAUAAGGCCGGGGCGGUGUACGAGGGCUGCUCCUCCCUCCCCACAACAACAGCCGUCACUGCCACUUGUCGUCGCCUCUCAACCAACACCAACAACACCGCUAAAUGAACUCUUCCCUCACAUGUAUCCUCCGCCAGUCACUACCCAGGACAUCCUUACCCAGAAGAACCAUAGCUGCAGUAUCAGGGCCUAGUGCCAUAGAGGCCAUGUGAGAGGUAGAAUCUCUGCUACAAAGUAUCAACACUGAGAUACUUCACCUCCAACAUCCCAACUACAGCACACUCCGCCAGCAGCUGGUUGAUGCAAGUUUACUCAAAUGCAAGUUGUCUGAAGUGUUCCAUGUUCAAUAUCAGCAAUGUGUGAACUGUUGUUCAACCCAUGUACUGUGCUCAAAGGAAAUUAUAUUUAUGAAGUGAA
Molecule: non-coding RNA, 441 nt
Organism: Procambarus clarkii (red swamp crayfish)
Lineage: Eukaryota; Metazoa; Arthropoda; Malacostraca; Decapoda; Cambaridae
Source: RefSeq, a predicted model, not a curated record